RNAcentral lists this small RNA (95 nucleotides) under Dipodomys ordii (Ord's kangaroo rat). Its description in RNAcentral is "TUC338 (ENSDORG00000026505.1)". Lineage: Eukaryota; Metazoa; Chordata; Mammalia; Rodentia; Heteromyidae. The record is from RNAcentral.
CAGGACAGGUACAGCACCGGCAGCAACAGUGAGAGUUUCCCCCACACUAGCCCAUCCGUGUCCUUCAACCCUGACCAGGAGGGAUCGUCCAUAGA